CCCGCCCCCUCCGUCCCGCCCGGGCUGCUCGCCCCGCCCCCGCGCGGCGCUGGGAGGCGGGAGCUGUCUCUGAGAACCUGCGGGAGAGCGCCCGGGCUUGCUGCUUCCCGGACCCGCGCGUCUCUCGAGCACCCUCGUCCCACCACCUUGUGAGGCCGUAGUGUUAUUUUUAUUUUUUAGAUCAGCAGACUGAGACUCGAGGUGACGUCACUCCGCAGAGAGGUUAGCUGACUUGAAGAAAACGGAAUGUCUGCAUUGGAAUCGCCUCACCUCCUUUUACCGCUGGAGAAGCCGACGGACAGACGGGCAGCGACCCCCGCCGUCGCACAACCCGUCUAGGCAGAGAGCGCAGGAGACGGGAGGGCGGCAGGGACACAUCUCCCAGCCAAGGACCUCCUGGGCCCGCAGAGGCCGCGACAGGUUCCCCCCACAGAGGGAACCAACUCUGCCGCAGGUUGAUGUGGACUUCAAGCCUGCAGAACGGAGAGCCCAUUUCCAUUGCUUAAAGCCACCUCGUGUGUGGUAUUUGUUAUGGUCCCUGUACACUCCCUUCCCUCCCUCUCCCAAGUCCAGUCCGCAGCUCGCUCAUCACCAGGCUCUUUUCCAUGACUCUUUCUUGAUCAGGCCUUUUUAUCGUCCUCACCACAGACUUCAUUAUCAUGGUUGCCUGACCCAACACAACAUAUUUGGAGGAGGAGAGGGGACACUUUUAUUGUACCCCAUCACGUGGCUGAGUCAUUUGGCUCUCCAUUCACUGGAACAGACGACUAUGGACACCACCAUUGGGUUUCCCACCAAGGACAGAGUUCCAAAGCAACAGUGGCUUCCAUGGUUGGCUCACCCAGCCUGCCUGAGUCAUCAGCUAGGUCCACAGAGUAGAGAAGUGGGUAGUGCCCCCGCCUAACAUCUGGAAAAAUUCCCAAAAGUUGUGACUUCAUGACCACUGAGUCAGCAGCAACUCUUUUCUUGCCAAGAAUAGCACAUUGUUCUUUUCCUUUUCAGGUAAUCCCUCCCCGGAAAGAGAAGAUCACAGAUUUUGUCAUAUUAAAUACAUUGUAGAAAUUCAUGGUAGCAGGGGCAAGAUCAUUUAAACAAAACAGAAAGUUUCAGAGAGAGAAAAAGCCAAGGACAAAGAUUAAUCAUUUUUCUGCUUAAAAAAAAUGGCUUUGAUUUGCAACCAUGGAAUGCUCCACUGUUUCUCUUCUCUUCAAAGACAUCUACUGAAAGGAUUCCUUAACCUUACCAAGUGGCCAAAAUACUUUUCUGAGAAGAGUCACAGAGCAUAGGCCCCCCUAGGGUACACAGAGAUUUCAUUAGUCCCUAGAUGUUUCCUGAUCCUUUUAAAAACUGGUUAAAUUCAGAGACUCUAGGCAAUUACUUCUUUCAGAACCUGUGAGGCAAAAACGAAAGAAGAAGGCAGGACACGCAGUGUAACAAACCUUGGAAUGGACUUCGCCAGACUUCAUCAGAAGAAAGCAGUGCAAGAGGGGACUGCAGAGGAAAGCUGGGGCUUGGGAAACCAGCAGCAGGGGCCACGUGGGCAGGUGGUUUCUGUGUGAACCUCUGAUCUGUGCAACAUAAACAGGAAAUGUUGAAGGCUUCCAGUGCUCUUUUUUGAUGUCGAGAACAUUCUACGGCACAAAAGAGUUUGCCUCUCACUGUUUCUCAUAUAUGGAGGUUUUCUAAUCAGCAUCCUGAACAGAAUUGAAUUAAAAAUAAAAACCAAAGUAAAAC
RNAcentral lists this long non-coding RNA (1734 nucleotides) under Homo sapiens (human). RNAcentral's name for it is "HSALNT0317460". Lineage: Eukaryota; Metazoa; Chordata; Mammalia; Primates; Hominidae. The record is from RNAcentral.